This 491-nucleotide long non-coding RNA is filed under the name Cyanistes caeruleus (blue tit). RNAcentral's name for it is "lncRNA (ENSCCEG00000016954.1)". Lineage: Eukaryota; Metazoa; Chordata; Aves; Passeriformes; Paridae. The record is from RNAcentral.
CAGACUGCAUCAUGUAAAAAUUGCCAUUUUCCUCUAUCUCUGCAGGGCAAUCUUUAAAGGCAGUAAGGUGUGACGCUCCAGACUGGCAGCUUGGCAAGAAAGAGCCCAUGGAUACCAACACACAGGAAUCUGGAGGGUUCACUCUGACAGGCAAUUUCCUGCUUGAGCAAGUGCUUUCUGAGCAGCCCUGGCAAUGGGAUGGGAAAAAAGGUGUUGCCCUUGCCUGUAAGCAAGAGAAGGAAAAAGCAGUUGCUUGAAGCGUUCUGGAGAAGUACAUCUUGAGGAGAUCACAAGGAGAAAUUUUAAUAAUUAAGGAAUAAGGAAUCUAUCUAUAGUGUAAUAUUUGUUGGUGGGAUCAAGAAGAAAAUAUGGUAUAUAAAACAGAAGACAAAGAACAUGAAGACAUUCUAGUACCAUGCAUGAAGUUUAUUUGAAUUGCAGAGAGAUCCAGAUCUAGCUGCUUAUCUGAAUAAAUCUUCUGAAGCAUCUCA